Molecule: ribosomal RNA, 1478 nt
Filed under: metagenome
Description: bacterial SSU rRNA
Rfam family: Bacterial small subunit ribosomal RNA
Source: RNAcentral
AGAGUUUGAUCCUGGCUCAGCGCGAACGCUGGCGGCAUGGCUAAAACAUGCAAGUCGAACGCGAAAGUGGGCUUCGGCCCGCGAGUAGAGUGGCGAAAGGGCGAGGAAUACGUUUCUAACGUACCCCAAGGUUGGGGAUAGCUCGGGGAAACCCGGGGUAAUACCUGAUGACCCCAUCGGAUCGCAUGGUCUGGUGGGCAAAGGCUUGCUGCCUUGGGAUCGGGAAACGUCCUAUCAGGUUGUUGGUGAGGUAAUGGCUCACCAAGCCAAAGACGGGUAGCGGGUGUGAGAGCAUGACCCGCCGCAUCGGGACUGAGACACUGCCCGGACUCCUACGGGAGGCUGCAGUAACGAAUCUUCCGCAAUGCGCGAAAGCGUGACGGAGCAAUGCCGCGUGCAGGAUGAAGCCCCUCGGGGUGUAAACUGCUGUCAGGGUGCAGGAACACAAUGACCACACCCAAAGGAAGGGCCGGCUAACUUCGUGCCAGCAGCCGCGGUAAUACGAAGGGCCCAAGCGUUGCGCGGAAUCACUGGGCUUAAAGGGUGCGUAGGCGGGUCCGCAAGUGCUUUGUGAAAUCCCCCGGCUCAACCGAGGAAUUGCUUGGCAUACUGCGGACCUUGAGGUCGGCAGAGGUCGUCGGAACUCUAGGUGUAGCGGUGAAAUGCGUAGAUAUCUAGAGGAACGCCCAUGGCGAAGGCAGGCGGCUGGGCCGAAUCUGACGCUGAGGCACGAAAGCGUGGGUAGCGAACGGGAUUAGAUACCCCGGUAGUCCACGCCCUAAACGAUGUGCACUAGAUUGUGGUGGCUCUGACGCCGGCACGGUCGAGGCAAAAGUGUUAAGUGCACCGCCUGGGGAGUACGGUCGCAAGACUAAAACUCAAAGGAAUUGACGGGGGCUCACACAAGCGGUGGAGCAUGUGGCUUAAUUCGAAACAACGCGAAGAACCUUAUCCUGGGUUUGACAUGCACGGAUUAACUCCGGGAAACCGGAGCCACGCCCUUUGGGUGGAACGUGCACAGGUGCUGCAUGGCUGUCGUCAGCUCGUGCUGUGAAGUGUCGGGUUAAGUCCCUCAACGAGCGAAACCCCUGCCGAUAGUUGCCAGCAGGCCUUCGGGUGCUGGGGACUCUAGCGGGACUGCCGGUGUCAAACCGGAGGAAGGUGGGGACGACGUCAAGUCCUCAUGGCCUUUAUGCCCAGGGCUGCACACGUGCUACAAUGGCGGCUACAGAGCGACGCGAUACCGCAAGGUGGAGCAAAUCGCAAAAAGGCCGCCCCAGUUCAGAUUGGAGUCUGCAACUCGACUCCAUGAAGUUGGAAUCGCUAGUAAUCGCGUAUCAGCUACGACGCGGUGAAUGUGUUCCUGAGCCUUGUACACACCGCCCGUCAAGUCAUGGGAGCCGGGGGGACCCGGAGUUGCAUCGAUUCAGGUGUGCCUACGGUCAACUCGGUGACUGGGACUAAGUCGUAACAAGGUA